Molecule: ribosomal RNA, 254 nt
Filed under: uncultured bacterium
Lineage: Bacteria
Description: partial 16S ribosomal RNA
Rfam family: Bacterial small subunit ribosomal RNA
Source: RNAcentral
UACGGGGGGAGCAAGCGUUGUUCGGAUUUACUGGGCGUAAAGGGCGCGUAGGCGGCCACCGCAAGUCGACUGUGAAAUCUCCGGGCUUAACCCGGAAAGGUCAGCCGAUACUGCGGGGCUAGAGUGCAGAAGGGGCAACUGGAAUUCUCGGUGUAGCGGUGAAAUGCGUAGAUAUCGAGAGGAACACCUGCGGCGAAGGCGGGUUGCUGGGCUGACACUGACGCUGAUGCGCGAAAGCCAGGGGAGCAAACAGG